Non-coding RNA from Cicer arietinum (chickpea), 193 nucleotides. The record is from Rfam. NCBI's taxonomy places the organism in Eukaryota, Viridiplantae, Streptophyta, Magnoliopsida, Fabales, Fabaceae.
AUAUCUUUUUCGGCUUUUUGGCUAAGAUCAGGUGUAGUUUCUGUCUUUAUCAGUUUAAUAUCUGAUAUGUGGACUAAUUGUCUACAUGAUAUUAAAUUACUUUUUUGAGGGAGAGAGACCUUUACUGCUGCUGGGUCUUGCUGUUGGGUGUCAUUUAUGUGUUGCACUAUGGCAUGGGCUUGGCGCAUCCCAC